AGCAUUGGUGGAAUGGUGAUUUGUGAUAGCUCUGAACAAGCAAAAGAAUUGUUCAAACAGUUUAAUGCUA
Molecule: transfer RNA, 70 nt
Filed under: Vibrio alginolyticus
Lineage: Bacteria; Pseudomonadati; Pseudomonadota; Gammaproteobacteria; Vibrionales; Vibrionaceae
Description: tRNA-Gln
Source: RNAcentral